CAACGCAGGUUCACUCUCCUUAAGUGCUUAGUCGAGCCGCGGGCGGCGCGCGAGGUAGCACGUCUUGCACCCGCUUUUCACUUUUGGUUCGGCGGUUAGGUAGGGGGAGAGGGAGAGCAGGGCUGGGGACGGAGCGCGUCGGCGGAGCAGAGAGGAGGGGAGAGGGAGCACAAGAGAGGGUGCGGCGACCGGGAGAGAGAGCGGAGUCGGCGGAGGAGAGGAGGGGACGCGGCAGCCGAGGGAGUAGGACGAAGAAGGAGGAAAGGCAGCCGCCGUCACCAUUGACCACUCGUACCCUCGUCGCCGACGCCGACCUGCGGCACUCGAGCCCUCGUCGAACAACUCUACCAGGUUCGCGUCAACCCUUGCUGGUUCCGUUCCUCCUAGUUCUAGACCUACCGUGCGGAGUGGGAGCCGAUGGAGAAGGUGGAGGGGCAGCUGACGGUGAAUAGUGCCUCCUCCUUCCCUACCUCUCUAUACCGCCGACGCUGACCUCGACCGCCUACGGUCUAUCUCCAGGUGGGACAAGGGCCGGAGGGCGCAGGGCGGGGCCAUGUCCCCGUUGCCGUUCCACUUCUAGCAGUACGGGCCUUAACCCGAGCCACUACUUCCCGUUCGCUCCAAGGAUGGGUACCCGAGGCCGUUCCGAGAGUGACUACCUAAACGUCAUACGGAUUAGAACCUGCACACGUUUGGUUGUAUCAACACUUACUCGAGACGAUCUAACAGAGUCGAGUACGGUACUCGAAACCAUCACACAGUGACGUUACGCUUCUAAUUUUCAAUUCAAGAGACUGCCACUCAAUACACACCAAACUCCCCAACGUCGAACGGAUUGUCUCCAAGGGAUUUUUGCUACAAAGUCCUUUUCAUUCGUCAUAAGAGAAGCUGGCAGGCUAAACACAACUAGCACGACGUUCAACUACGGACCCAAAUGUUGACCACCAAAAAGGUAAGGAAUUAGGAGUACAGAAGAACACACGCACACACAGUGUACACGAAUGUAGAUCCAAACUACGCUUAAAAGAAAAAUGUCCCACGAUCGGUGACAUCAAGACAAACAAACAAGCAUCCUGUGUACACUGUUUGCCACUGUAACGCCAGAGAAAUGGAAGUAUAAGAAUAGAACCAAAACAAAGAAAGACGCACAUAGAUGCGGUACCGACUUGUAAGAAACGAGUAACUAUACACAUACGUGCCCAAACAAGAAGAAGAUCUCUUAAUUCAACCACUGAAAAUAAUAACAAUUAACGAGUCUCACUAACAAGAGUUUCAUCAGAACUUGUUAAUUAGUAAACGUCCAUAAAUAGAUUGGUAAUCACCGAAGUCAAAGGACAGUAGAAAGAAAACCUUUACCCUCAACAACAACGAAGGGUCCAGUCGACUCCAAUAUGACAUCUUGUCUAAGUCAUAAGCGAAUAUAAGUGUAUUCGAGUUCCUAUCAAAAGAAACACAACAACACCGAUACCUGUCGACAGCUUUUUUCUCUUCUGCUAUUCGCUCUGAUGAUGUCGCUCUCUCUGCCACCGGUUAUAACACAAUCAACGGACGAAAUACGUUUUGAUUUUGUUCACUCUGACUUUACGAAACCGUACAUAACCGAUUUAAUCUUGCAUCAUACUCUAACCGUAUACGUCCUAUUGUGAUGUUCAACUGUGUGUAUCGUACAUAACCGAUUUAAUCUUGUGUACUCUAAUAGUAUACGAAAGAGUUUUUUCUUCUUCUCUCUAACUGUAUACGUCCUAUUGUGACGUUCAACCGUGUGGAUCCGUUAACCAAUUACAAAAAAACAAAACAGAGAAACGUAUCACGGGUCCAUCACAAACGUGUCUAAUAAACAAUUUAACAAUACUACAGAGAAAGAAAUAGUCGUACAUGUUUUCCAAGUCGUUUCACCCUGAGGGUUCAGACGUUGGUGUUAUCUUUAUUCCAGUACCUCGUUCUCAAGACAACCCGUAGGAAACGUAAAUAGAACAGUCCAAGGUACGAAGUAUCGUACACAUAUUCGUAUCUUCAUGUGUGUAUGUGACGUCAAGCAUUACAGUGAAUUAUCCCCUACGUAAUCCCAUGAAAUAAAGGUAAUAUUUGACUAUUAUUAAUACGCAAAUCUUUCCAUUGUUAUUAGACCCAAUAUCGUCUUAUAAUCUACACCAUACGAACAUACUCAUCUUACGUCUCAAAUAUUUACUUGAUUUUAGGCACUCGUCCUUCACCAUCCAAAUUAAAGUCAAUCUUUUUAUCCAAAUGACGUCGUAGUAUAUAAGUCCUUUAGGGAACUAACAAAAACGGUACAAGUCCGAAAUAUGUAGCAAACAUAUACGUAUUUCAUGCGGUGUACUUGACCUCAAGUAUCACAGUCCUCAUUCUCCCCACGUUCAUCAUCGUACAAUGUCCUAUUCUUGCUGACAAAUCAAAUUGUCACGGGAAAUUGUCAAAUUGAGGUUUCUCCAGACUACUUUACUUAAAAACUAUAUAGACUUGAGAUCUCAUAUUCUACGUAGAAGGAUGAGAAGGACUCUAGUGCCAAUAGUAUUGAUAAAUAAACUCUAUACGCUUCACAAGGAAACUAUCAUCUACGUUGAACGUCGAUAACACCUGUAAGCAAACAAGCACCCUUCAAAACAGAGAAGGGAUAUCAGUUUCGAGUACACGUUAAACCUCUUUUUACGUGUGUACGAUAGCGACGUAAACCACCAAGGAAAAAAAUCGAUUUUUUGGACAGAAACAAAACGAGGAAAAACAAGAGACAAAUAAUGACAAUUAACGAGUCUCGUAACAAAGGUUUCAUCAGAACUUAUUAAUUAGUAAACGUACAUGGAUUGGUUAUCGCCGAAUGUAAAGGACCAGUAAAAAGAAAACCUUUACCUUCAAUAACGAAGGAUCCACUCGACUCCACUAUUGACUUGAGAGAAGAUGAUAACUCUUCUAAGUCAUAAGUGAAUAUAAAAGUAAUCGGGUUCCUAUCAAAAAUAACACAACACCGACACCCGUCGAUGGUUUUUUUCUUUUCUCCUACUCGCUCUAAUGACGUCACUCUCUACCGCCGGUGCUCUCGAUACCUACGUCCUCUCCCAAGUACAACAAAUAUAUCAAGGAGAUCCGGCACACAGAAAGGUAGGGGGCGAGGUCCUCUCCCAAGUACAACAAAUAAAAUAAUCAGCUUAUAUUAUAUUAUACUCUAGUGGAUGGUAGCAGUAAGAACUAAUGUCAGAGUAUGUUUUCAUCAGGUUAAUCAACAUGAUUAAGUAUUUAUAAAAACCAUACCAAGAAUAAACCAAAGUUCUGUAUCUUAAAAAAAACUUGCCAGUGGCCCCCCUCUCUCAGGGGUGAACUUAUAUAACGAGUUUCACCGGUUUUACGGUUCACAAACUACGUCAAAUAUUCCUUUUGGCCUAGCUUUUGGAAUUGUCCAACUGGAGUAAAUAUUCCCUUUCGCCCGACUUUUUGGCGUGUCCUCCCUUUCUAAUGUAUCCCACUCUUGUAUACCUGCGGGGCUUCUUCCGUGAUGGAUCGGUCGUUCGGUUCUCUGGUGGUGGUAUUUUCAGCUCACCUUCACCACACAGCAGCUCCUUAGUGUUAUGGUUGUGAUUUGUUGAUAGGAUUGCGUGGUGUGGCCACACACAUGGGUAGUUGUCUCCUCGUCGUGGUUAGUUGCUCACUGGGUAGUGCUUGGAAUUGACCUUUGAGGCGGUGUCGUUCGGCUGUGCUAAUCGUUCCACCCUUCCGUAGUAACGCAACAACAACUCGUCUCUACUUGGCUCUAUCGUGCUUCGAGUGGUUUUGCCUGCUGUCUGUACUCUCCCAGAACUCGAUCGUCUCGUCUCCUACUGGUCCCGUUGCCUCCUACUUACCGCCGUUCCUCGAGGGAUCACUGCGGAAGUUCUUCCACCUGCUGUAAGCUCCUACUGCAGCAGUGUCUCGAAAGCGGACCUCGUAUUGGCCAAUUUAAGGGUCUCCCGUCUCGGCUCUCGACGCUUAGGCCUGGCUCUCUGUCCUCACCGUGUACUCGGUGCGGGGGUUCUCCCAUUCGCUGCGACCUCAUCGCGGCGGCACCAGUCGACUGUUCCAGUCGUCCCUAAAGAGGGUAUCGUGUAGGGAGUUACCACCCGGCGGUAGGUUCACCUCAGCUUCCCGCUGUCUCCUGUCCUAGCUCUGCCUGUACACUCCGCCUACCACUUGGCUCCUUCCU
Molecule: ribosomal RNA, 4189 nt
Filed under: Triticum aestivum (bread wheat)
Lineage: Eukaryota; Viridiplantae; Streptophyta; Magnoliopsida; Poales; Poaceae
Description: partial small subunit ribosomal RNA
Source: RNAcentral